CUGGGACCGAAACCGAUCGAAUCGAUAAGGAUUUUCUUCGGCUGAAUCUCGUAGGUGAAUAUCGAAAGAAAAUUGAACUUUGAGGUACAGAACUUUUAGGAAGGGCUCGCAGGUGAAGAACAGGGGGGCAUUUCAUGGUAAUCGAAGAGAACGCCAUCUGACAAAUCCGGUUGUGCUGCCGCGAUUAUUCCGGCGAACGGCGAACGGCGGCCGGG
Molecule: unclassified non-coding RNA, 215 nt
Filed under: Hevea brasiliensis (rubber tree)
Lineage: Eukaryota; Viridiplantae; Streptophyta; Magnoliopsida; Malpighiales; Euphorbiaceae
Source: RNAcentral